CAACUUGAGAGUUUGAUCCUGGCUCAGAACGAACGCUGGCGGCAGGCCUAACACAUGCAAGUCGAACGCUCCAGCAAUGGAGAGUGGCAGACGGGUGAGUAACGCGUGGGAACCUACCCUUUGGUUCGGAAUAGCCCAGGGAAACUUGGGGUAAUACCGGAUAAGCCCUUCGGGGGAAAGAUUUAUCGCCGAAGGAUGGGCCCGCGUCGGAUUAGCUAGUUGGUGGGGUAACGGCCUACCAAGGCGACGAUCCGUAGCUGGUCUGAGAGGAUGAUCAGCCA
RNAcentral lists this ribosomal RNA (281 nucleotides) under Hyphomicrobiaceae bacterium. Its description in RNAcentral is "partial 16S ribosomal RNA". It matches the Rfam family "Bacterial small subunit ribosomal RNA", at positions 1 to 310 of the family's 1533-position model. The record is from RNAcentral. Lineage: Bacteria; Pseudomonadati; Pseudomonadota; Alphaproteobacteria; Hyphomicrobiales; Hyphomicrobiaceae.